Bubalus bubalis (water buffalo) is the source of this 2588-nucleotide long non-coding RNA. RefSeq lists it as uncharacterized. Lineage: Eukaryota; Metazoa; Chordata; Mammalia; Artiodactyla; Bovidae. The record is from RefSeq and is a predicted model, not a curated record. The transcript is spliced from 3 exons.
CUAAAGCUUCAACUUUCUUGCUUGUCAAAUGGUGCUAGUCAUAAUUCCUACUUCACAGAGUAUUUGAGGAUUAACAGGAAAAUCCAUGUAAAGUAGCACUUAGUGCUAAGUAAAUACUGCUGUUUUGUAGUGUUGGUGAUAUAUUUUUGAGGUCUGAGGAACUGACAACAGGUAACUGUUAACAUGAAAGGCCUCUGGGGUGUGGUGGGUUGAAUUGUGUUCCUCCAAAAGAUACCUUCAAGUAUUAACUUCCUGAAGAUUAUCUUCAGUACAUGUGAGUGUAUUUGGAGAUAAGACUUUGUAGAUGUAAUCAAGUUAAGAGGAGGGUCAUACUGGAUGAUGGUGGGCCCUUAUCCAAUAACUAGUGUCUAUAAGGAGAAAUCUAUACACAGGCACACAGGGAGAACUCUGUGAGAAGACAGAGGCAGAGAUUGCAGUGAUACCACAAACCAAGGAAUGUCAAGGGUUAACAGCAACCACCAGAAACCAGAAGAGGCCAAGAAGCAUUCUUCCCUAGAGUGUUUGGAGGGAGCAUAGCCCUGCCAGCACCUUGGUUUUGGACUUUGAGCCUUUAGAACUGUGAGUUUAUGUUGCUUUAAGCCUCCCAGUUUGUGGGAAUUUGUUGCCACAGCCCUAGGAAAGAGAGGGUAUCAGUAUUGAGGGAAGUGUUUUGGGCUCCCAUUUAAGCAUCCAGGGUUAGGCUUAUUAGCCAUAGAACACUCAUUUCUAUAUUUUAAAUCCACUGAGUAAUAACCUCCCAAAGAGAUCAUGGGUAUUUGCCUACUGACUUAGUGAUGCUGGAGGUGUGCAUGUGUGUGUGUGUUGGGGGUGGUGGUGGUGGGGACACAAGUUCUGAGAUUAAUGAGAGCCUUCAUGGUGAUGACUGUGUAUUCAGGGUCACAGAACGCCACAGACACACUCAGAAGAGGCAGGGGGGUAUGCAGUAGGACUGAGGAAAAGGGCUGCUGCAUUUCAUCUGUCCCAGUUCUCCUGUUGAGAGUCUUUCCUUCCCCUUCUCUGUCACAGGAAUAUAGGUAGUUGUCUUGUUGGGCUGAGAUGCAGGGAAUUUGGAACUGGCCUAGGAAAUUGUUGAACUUUAUCAGUCUGUGGUGAAUACCUUUUCCUUCAUGCCAGCUGUGGACCAUAGAGAACUUCCAGGGAGAUGCUGUGUGCCUCUGUACUUUCCCAGAGAAAGCCAGGUGGUCUCUGUCUCAGUUAAUUUUCCAUAGGAUGUUCCUGAAAGAUGUAGAAGUCCUUUUUCAGCAUAGAAUCCCUCCGCCCCCCUUGGCUUCCUUGGUCCUGCAUUUCCGUCAGUCACCCCUUCCUUGCCUCUCCUACUCCAUGCUCUGACAGUAGCAUUUUGAGUAACUCAGGUUCUCCUCUGCUUUCUCCAGCCAGAAGGGAAGGUAUUCACAGACGGGAAUGAUAACCCUGGUUCACUGCUCACCACAUAACUACUACCGGAAGACUAGAGUUCAUCUUGAAAGAAGAGAUAAUACAUUAUAAGGAUAUAUACAGUUUUCAGAGCUCCUACGACAAGGGUGAAGGGUAGCAUGGGUGGAGGUGGAUGCGACAGUGGAAUUGUAUGCUCAUUGAAUGAGGACUCCUGUAGAAGCCUAGACUAUUUGGACUGCUGAACUUCUGACUCUAUCAGUGCCGUUUUGGUCUUGACCUUCUUAUUUAUUCUUUUAUUGGGCUAUGCUAGGUCUUGGUUGCAGUGAAUAGGAUCUUUAGUUGCAGGAUGCAGGAUCUUUAGUGGUGGCAUGUGGCAUCUUCUAGUUGUGGCACUUGAACUCUUAUUUGUGGCAUGUGGGAUCUGAUUCAAGCAAGGAGUCUUAGCCAGUGCACUUCCAGGGAAGUCCCUGUCUUGACGCUCUUGAGCAAGGAGAAAGAAGGUUGAAUCAUUACACUUGCUAGGUCACUGGCUCAUUGGUAGGAAAGGUUUUGUUUGUUGGUUUGUUUUGAGUUAAUGUGUAAGGGAGGUAGGAGGAAAGGGUGGAUGGUCAAAGAGAGAACAGCAGAGAGGCAGCCUAGUGGGAGAGAAGGAACCAGAGCAGGCAGCAGGACGAGGAUUCUCUACCCUGUGCUCUGAGGCGGCUUCCCCGACCCACAGUGAACGAGUUGGGAGCUGUUACCACCCGUGAGAAGUCUCCUGCGGCAGAACCCAGCACUCAGUGAUGGAAGGACCUCUGGGUUAAAUCCCAGGAUAGGGAGAGGAGAGAAGGAGCUGGAGACAACCUACCUUGGUUUGAGACCUGUUUCUGCCACUUCCUGGCUGUGUCCACUUUGGAGGCUCAUCUCCAAGUGAUAAUUCAGAGACCAGACUCUGCUCUGCUGUCUUCAACAGUUGGCUUCUGCAUUCACCACGGAAGGAGAAAGAGCAUGAAGAAUGGCACGUGGGAGAUUAUUAGGGACCAAGCCUGGAGGAGUGUUACAUCAUUUACACCCAGAUUCCAUUGGCUAGAACUCAGUCCAUGGCCACACUGAACAGCAAAGAUGGCUGGAAAACGUGAUCUAGCGGUGUAUCCUGGAAGAGCUACUAGGUUUUGUGAUCGGCCAGCAAUCUCUGAAAAAAUAUGUUUCUUGGA